UGCGGGGUAGAGCAGUUUGGUAGCUCGCAAGGCUCAUAACCUUGAGGUCACAGGUUCAAAUCCUGUCCCCGUAU
Molecule: transfer RNA, 74 nt
Filed under: Allium cepa (onion)
Lineage: Eukaryota; Viridiplantae; Streptophyta; Magnoliopsida; Asparagales; Amaryllidaceae
Description: tRNA-Met
Rfam family: tRNA
About the family: Transfer RNA (tRNA) molecules are approximately 80 nucleotides in length. Their secondary structure includes four short double-helical elements and three loops (D, anti-codon, and T loops).
Source: RNAcentral